AACGAACGCUGGCGGCGUGCCUAACACAUGCAAGUCGAGCGAGAAAGCCCGCAAGGGUGAGUACAGCGGCGCACGGGUGCGUAACACGUGGGUAAUCUGCCCUGAAGCCCGGAAUAACUCCUCGAAAGGGGUGCUAAUGCCGGAUGAGCCCACGGGGUCUUCGGACCCUGAGGGAAAAGGUGGCCUCUGCAUGCAAGCUAUCACUUCAGGAUGAGCCCGCGGCCCAUCAGCUCGUUGGCGGGGUAAUGGCCCACCAAGGCUACGACGGGUAGCUGGUCUGAGAGGACGAUCAGCCACACUGGAACUGAGACACGGUCCAGACUCCUACGGGAGGCAGCAGUGGGGAAUCUUGCGCAAUGGGCGAAAGCCUGACGCAGCAACGCCGCGUGUGUGAUGAAGGUCUUCGGAUCGUAAAGCACUGUCGCGAGGGACGAAUAAGGGCCGGGCGAACAUCCCGGUCCGAUGACGGUACCUCGAGAGGAAGCACCGGCUAACUCUGUGCCAGCAGCCGCGGUAAUACAGAGGGUGCUAGCGUUGUUCGGAAUUAUUGGGCGUAAAGCGCGUGUAGGCGGCCUUGUAAGUUGGGUGUGAAAGCCCUCGGCUUAACCGAGGAAGUGCGCCCAAAACUGCUCGGCUUGAGUACCGGAGAGGGUGGCGGAAUUCCCGGUGUAGAGGUGAAAUUCGUAGAUAUCGGGAGGAACACCAGUGGCGAAGGCGGCCACCUGGACGGCUACUGACGCUGAGACGCGAAAGCGUGGGGAGCAAACAGGAUUAGAUACCCUGGUAGUCCACGCUGUAAACGAUGAGCGCUAGGUGUUGUGGGUGUUGACCCCUGCAGUGCCGAAGCUAACGCAUUAAGCGCUCCGCCUGGGAAGUACGGCCGCAAGGCUA
RNAcentral lists this ribosomal RNA (891 nucleotides) under uncultured bacterium. RNAcentral's name for it is "bacterial SSU rRNA". It matches the Rfam family "Bacterial small subunit ribosomal RNA", at positions 28 to 896 of the family's 1533-position model. The record is from RNAcentral.